CCCACUCGAGCCCUACACUUUAUAAACCCGCCUCUUUUUUCCAUUCUUCAUCUCUUUCACUUUGUAGGUUUUCUUUCUCUCUAUACAAACUAUCCACUCAAAAACAAGCUUCCAUUGUCAAACUUUUGCUCUAAAUCAAAGCUUUGAAGCCAUCAAAUCAUCUUCCACUCAUUCAAUAGCCAAUUUUUUUUGUAGAAAAUUCAAGUAAGUGGUUUUGUUCCUUGAUGAUUUUCUCUUUGGUAGAUUUUGAUAUUGAAAAAGAGUUUGUGGUUGUUGAUUAGUGGCUUUGUGACAAGUUUGAGAUUAUGAUAUGUGUGCUUGCAAAUUACUUCUUCUCAAUUGAUUAUUGUGAAGAUUUGAUGCCAGGAAGUUAUGAGUAAAUAAAAAUUUCUGCAUUUGAAUAGUAACUUGUGGAAUUAAGAGGAUUUGUGCACUAGUGAAUUGGGUAAAAAUAUUUAUAGAUAGAGGUGAGAAAGCUACUACAUUUUUUUGUGGAAACUUGUGUUUAAAUUGCUACAAAUUUGUUAACUUUUUAUGGCACCCAAAAAAAUAGUUAGAGGUCGUGGAAGUAGGACUCUUUUCAAUCAAAGUAAGUUUGUUUCUGCUGACACUGCUACAAGGCAUUCGCAGUCCUUGUUGCAAAAAUUCCCUAUUCUGAAGCGAGGUAUUGAUUUUCAUCCUAGACUUUAUGGUUAUGUUCAUAAGAUUAUUAAUAAGCAUCAAUGGGAAAAUUUUGUGAGCAACCUGAGGCGACAGUAUUGCUUGUUGUUUGAGAAUUUUAUGUCAAUGCCGUUGAACAUGAGAAUGGGCAAGUUUUUGUCCAAAGGUAUUAGGUAUGCUUUAACAAUCAAACAAUUAACCAAUUUUAUAACUUACCUAAUAUUUGGUUGCUUUGCAACUAGGGUAAAGAAUGGAAAUGACUAAGGGUGUGCCAUUGUAUUUUAAAGCCAAUACCAUGAAAAAUGAUUAUAAGUUAUGGUAUCACUUUUUGGCAGCAAGAUUACUCUUUACGAAGUAUUUUAGUGACAUGACAAAAGACAAAGCCAUUUUACUUUAUGUAAUUGUUUCAAGGACGUCAAUCAAUGUGGGUCAAUUAGUGUUCAAUAGUAUUGUUCAAGCUACUCACUCACCCUAUGAUGGACUUUGGUAUCCAUCCUUAAUCACGACUUUGUGCAAAAAGUGGGAGUGAUUUGGGAAAUGAGUGAAGUAAUUUUGCAUCCCAAAGUCCCUCUAGAUGUAGGAAUUAUACGUAGGUUUUAUACUCGUGGGCAUUCAACUGCUAGAGGAAGUUCUUCAUUAGCUUCACGCCAUCCACCAUUGCAGCAACAUCCUCAACAUUUUUCCAUGUCUUAGAGAAUGGAAAGGCUUGAGCUUCUCAUGGACCAUCAUGAUGUGUGUAUGCAAUCAAUUGAGCAGAUGAUGAUAGCUUAUGAUGAACAUGUUGGCAUGGACAUGGCCUCUUUUCCUACACUGCCAUAUGAUCCCACCAUGGUGGACUAGAAUAAAGAUGAGGAGAAGGAUGACUAGUAGUGUUUGUUCGCGAGUCAGGGGAGUAUUCCUUUUCUUUACUUUUACUAACAUUAAGGACAAUGUUAUCUUUAAGUUUGAGGUAAAUUUUUAAUUUUUACGCUUUGUUUUCUUUAUUUUGCAGUUAUAUUUUUUAGAUCUUAAGUUUAGUUAAGUUAUUUAUCAGUUAAUUUGUUGCAUGUUUUAAGAACUUGAACUAGAUUUAAUUGUGCCACUUUCUUUAAUCUACCUAUCCAAUGAUGAGAAUCUAAUUAUAUUCUUAUCUUGAUUCUUUGAAACCUGUGAAUAUUGUUUGAGUAAUAUGUAAAUUCUUAUGCUAAGAUUCAUUUUUGGGAUGUGAUUUCUACUUAAUUUGAGCAUCGUGUCUUUUGCUUAGAUUCAUUGUGCAUAUUUAGAGAAGGUUUAUGUAAAUGUAAGAUCUUGAAUUAUGUAUUGAGUUCUAAAAUUUGUUAGAUUCUCUCUCAAGGUAAAAUCUUAGGUUAUACUUAGUUAAAAAAAUGAUUUAGACCAUCUUUGAACUGAUUGAGCUUUUCGAGCCACCUUGUUAUAUAAUUAUCCUUAGAAUACCCCUUUGAGCCUAAUGUAACCUUCUCUUUGUUUAAGCACUUAAUUAUUAGCCUAAACCCUUAUAUAAAAAUUUCCAACUUGUUACAUCUCUUACUCCUAAGUGUAUAAGUCAAUUUAGGAAGUGUAAAGCUAGAUAGUGAAGAAGAUAGUAAAAGUGAAAAGUGAUUAAAAAUUUAAAAGCAUGAUUGUAUUCAUCUAACUACCCAAUAAAAUAAAUAAUUUUGGGGUUGUGUUAUUGAGAAAAAGAAAAAGAAUAAGGGAAGAAAAAGUGUUGAGCAAAAGAAAAUUUUAAUGAAAAAUGGGUGUACUUGGUGAAGGAAAAUAAAGCUCUUUAUAGGUUUUAGAAUGACUAUAUGCUUAGGGUGAUUUGAGCCACAUUAAUAUUCCAUAUCCUAUCUUGAUCCUAGCUAUAUAUUACAAGCUUGAUAAAGACCUAAUAAUCCUUAACUUAGUAUUAGCCCACAUUAGUGGAGAGAGAAAUGAAAAGCAAACUUAUGGUACUCUAGUACUAAUUUGAAUUUUGCAUACAUAUAAACUUAUUCGGACUGUAUGAUGUUCUUCACAAAAAAAUUACACACACACAUUGAAAUCCAUUUUAUGAUAAGCUUGCAUUUGAAUUGAAACCCAAUUUUAAAUAAUAUUUAUUUGUUACUUAGAGUUGAGAAUAGGGAUUAACUUAUGAGGAUAUUAAAGGUGAUUAUUGAGUUGCUGCAAUUUAUUUCUAGUUAAGUUGUUUUCUUCAUUUAUGUUAUUGCAUUUUAGUUUAUGUUUUACUUAAGGACUAGCAAAAUCUUAAGUUUGGGGGUGUGAUAACUCUAUUAUAUAAAGUUAUUUUGUCACAUUUUGUGGGUUUAAAUAGCUAAGUUUUUUAGAUUUCUUGGUUUGGAAAUUAAGUAUAUUAGUUAUUUUUCUUAAUUUAGUUUAAUAGAUGUUAAUUAGUUUACUUUAAGUUAGUUUAGUUUAAUUUUAUGUUAUUUUACUUUUAAUUACUUUAAGUUUAAUUAUUAUUGAUCUCUUUCAUUGUUUUGUAAGAAAUUUGAUGAAAUGACCUUAAUUGAUGAAAAUCCGUGCAAAUAUGGUGAUGGCUUUGUUCGUACAUACUGCAGUAUUUCGAGUAUCACUUGAGAUACAGAAAUCCAAGUAAUGUGAUUUUUAAGCCAUUAGAAAGCUAAGAGAUAGGACUACAAUUUUCAUAUUUACCACUUUACCCAGUUUGGAUUUGAUCAAGGUGAAAAUCACAUUAGAAAAAGCUAGAUUACUGUAGGUCUACACGAGACAACUGUAGGUCUACACGAGACAACAUGUGAAUGAAUGAAAGUUGUGGCCUUGAAUUGCUCAAGGUUACGGACCAAGAUGCAUCAGAGCCCCAUAGUAGGACCCGAGAGCACAACGUUGUGGCACUAGUGAACGGAGACCGUGACGUUGGUUGAAGAAUGAAGCAUCAUACUAAAACGCAAAAACAUGGCACCUCGAUGCCAAGAAAGGCUAGGUUGUUGUGCCAGACAAACUUCCAAAAAUAUGCUUUGAUGGGAUUUUUAAAACUAAGGCUUUUGGAGAGUAUUUAAGGGGCCUUUUUCAGAAGUUUGGGAAAAAAGAUAACAAGCAAUUAUUCUGGAGAAAAAAAGCCACAAACAAAGCAAGAAAGUAAGAGAAUUUGAGGGAGAAUUAAGAUAAAAGAGCUUCAAAAUAUUAGUUUCUAUCUCUACUUUUGUUUUUUUUUUUUCAUUUUCUUUAACUUGGAUUAAUAGUUAAUUUUCUUUGAAUGGUGUCUUUAGUCAAUAUUAUGAGCUAAUUUACUUUUUCUAGGAUUAUGAUGGAACUUAAUAUGUAAUUUGGAUUUUUAAUUUCUCUUUAGCUUAUUUUUAAUGGAAUAUGAGUUGUUUUUUCCAA
This 3984-nucleotide long non-coding RNA is filed under the name Theobroma cacao (cacao). Its description in RNAcentral is "long non-coding RNA (TCAC_LNC002887)". The record is from RNAcentral. Lineage: Eukaryota; Viridiplantae; Streptophyta; Magnoliopsida; Malvales; Malvaceae.